Molecule: long non-coding RNA, 1287 nt
Filed under: Homo sapiens (human)
Lineage: Eukaryota; Metazoa; Chordata; Mammalia; Primates; Hominidae
Description: non-protein coding lnc-PITPNM1-1:1
Source: RNAcentral
GCGCGCAAGGCACCGGUGGCAGCGGCGACGGCAGCUGCGACAGCAACCCCUGCUGGGCCGAAACUGGGCAGAGCGGAGCAGACGUCUGAAGCAGCGCGAGUGAGGCGCGAGGGUAGCGCCCGCGCCCGGGAAGACCCCUCGGCGCGAACCGGCAGCCCAGCCCCGGGUCCCGGUUCCCAAGGCCCCGCCUCUAGGGCCUGGGGACUAAUCGGAUUGAGAGCGCGCCGGCCCGGGCCGCGAACUCGCCAAUUGCGGAGGGCGGUGGCCACCGCCCAAUCCGGAGCAGACAGGUGCGAGGUCCGGAAGGCGGAGGCCAAUCGGCGGCGGUUGCGACCUGCUGGGGCAGGUCUCGGCCAAUAAGGAGGCUCGAGUGACAUCUUCGCGCACCAAUCGGGAGUGAGGGAGCAUUCGUGCCCGCUCGCCCUUCCGGCCAGACCUCUAUUUACCAGGGGCGUGCAGCCCGCUUGCCAAUCAGAGCGCGGCUGAGCGGCCCCGCAGCCAACCCCCGAGGAGCGGCCGGCUGGCGUCCGCCGCGCCCAGGAGUUGGGGAUGUCCUACAAACCCAUCGCCCCUGCUCCCAGCAGCACCCCUGGCUCCAGCACCCCUGGGCCGGGCACCCCGGUCCCUACAGGUGAGGAUCCAGCUCCACCCCUGCUCGCCUGCCGGGCGGUCGAGGUCUCGAAGAGAAGACGGCCUGAGUUCUGCAAUACUGGGCCUGCCGCCUACCCUCGCUGAGCCUCAGUUUGCUGGCCUGUGAAGUGGGCGUGGUCACGUAUCAUCCAUGCCCGGGCCCUAGUCAGAGAGUGCCUGGCAGAGACAGAGCGGAACGCCCGCACGUAACAGGAAGCGCCUCGGCCUCAGCGUCUGGACCUAUCCGGCCACUGCAGAGCACCCGCUUCUCCCUGGCCUUCAUCCCGAGUUGCACUAACCAUCCUGGGCUUCCUGUCCUGUGUCCCUUGGUGGGUCCCCUCCAGGAACCAAGGAGUGGCCCUCCAGGUGGCAGCACUAAGGACACCCCCCCACAACAAGAGUUAGCAGCGAGGUCCCCAUGAGUCCCACCCAUGACCUGCCGACAGUGUUGCCCACCGGAACUUUUGUGGCCCCUACCGCUCAGCCCUUCCCAGCACUUCUCCCACUUUGUCCCGAGCCUCCUUCUCCCCCAGCAGGGGCACAGGCCUGGCACCUCCCUGCCUUGUGUCCUGAGCCAUAGUGACUCUUUUAUCUGUGUGUCUUUUGCUAAAUAUGCCCUUUUUAUAUUAAUAAAAGAUGAUUUGGAGUUGUGCUCUC